GUCAGUGUGAUUUAGUGGUUUGAAUGUUGGACUGCGAUUCUAGAGAUCAGGGUUCAAUUUCCCACUCAAG
Non-coding RNA from Phrynosoma platyrhinos (Desert horned lizard), 70 nucleotides. Lineage: Eukaryota; Metazoa; Chordata; Lepidosauria; Squamata; Phrynosomatidae. The record is from the annotation of a GenBank genome assembly.